UACGUAGGGGGCAAGCGUUGUUCGGAAUUACUGGGCGUAAAGGGCUCGUAGGCGGCCAACUAAGUCAGACGUGAAAUCCCUCAGCUUAACUGGGGAACUGCGUCUGAGACUGGCAAGCUUGAGUGCAGGAGAGGAACGCGGAAUUCCAGGUGUAGCGGUGAAAUGCGUAGAUAUCUGGAGGAACACCGGUGGCGAAGGCGGCGUUCUGGACUGCAACUGACACUGAUGAACGAAAGCCAGGGGAGCAAACGGG
RNAcentral lists this ribosomal RNA (253 nucleotides) under uncultured bacterium. Its description in RNAcentral is "partial 16S ribosomal RNA". It matches the Rfam family "Bacterial small subunit ribosomal RNA", at positions 524 to 776 of the family's 1533-position model. The record is from RNAcentral.